RNAcentral lists this ribosomal RNA (292 nucleotides) under uncultured bacterium. Its description in RNAcentral is "partial 16S ribosomal RNA". It matches the Rfam family "Bacterial small subunit ribosomal RNA", at positions 505 to 796 of the family's 1533-position model. The record is from RNAcentral.
GUGUCAGCCGCCGCGGUAAUACGGAGGGGGCCAGCGUUGUUCGGAAUUAUUGGGCGUAAAGGGCGCGUAGGCGGCCAUUCAAGUCGAACGUGAAAUCCCUCGGCUCAACCGGGGAACUGCGUCCGAUACUGUUUGGCUCGAGUCCUGGAGAGGGUAGUGGAAUUCCCAGUGUAGCGGUGAAAUGCGUAGAUACUGGGAGGAACACCGGUGGCGAAGGCGGCUACCUGGACAGGUACUGACGCUGAUGCGCGAAAGCUAGGGGAGCAAACAGGAUUAGAUACCCGCGUAGUCC